This is a long non-coding RNA of Cercocebus atys (sooty mangabey), 1411 nucleotides long. RefSeq lists it as uncharacterized. The record is from RefSeq and is a predicted model, not a curated record. Lineage: Eukaryota; Metazoa; Chordata; Mammalia; Primates; Cercopithecidae. The transcript is spliced from 3 exons.
CCCCGCCCGGCAGGAAGUGCGCCCUGGGCUUCUGCGUCUGUCCUCCCAGUGUCCAACGUUGCCUCGCGGAGGCCGCCGUGCGGAGCAAAUGUCUAACGGAAAUCAGAGGUGGAAAAGAGGUUGGAGGAGCCUGCUCCGUUCCACUCGCUUUUACUGAUGCGCCCACCAGCAGCCACGCUUGGGGCUGGGGGCUUUGAGGACACGCACGUGAGUCAGGGUCUUAUGGCCUCUAAGGCACGCGCAGGAAGAACCCGAAAUAGACGGAAUUACGACCCAUAUCGGAAGAAUAGCAUAAAGGGCGACGAGGCUCAAAGGAGCUAGAGGACAUCGGGUGGGGAACCUGGAAGGGGCUUCAAGGAGGGGGUGUGGGGAGUCUUCAGCCUCACUCUGAGGUCCCCAUUGUGUCUUGCUUCUGCAGCUGACCAAGGUUUGUGUAAAGUCAAACCUCAGAAGAGCGAGCUUGAGGAGAGAGCUGCAAAUGAUAUACGACUCUUCAACUCACACUUUCGCCGAAGAGACUUUUGAAAGAACCAUGAGGUGAACUCAUCCUUAUGGAUUCAGAAGACGAAGAAUACAAGCAAGCAGGAGAAAGUCUAAGAAGAAAGUUCACCUGGUAUGUUCCACCAAAAAGAAAGAAAAAAAUCUAUAUGGUGAGUGUAUGUUGCAUUAUCAAGGAUAUUCCUGAUAGAAGAGAACUUACAGUUUUGUUAGUCAUCGGUGAGUAGUGAUUCAUUCAUUUACAACUAUAUAACUUUGACAACGGGAAGAAUUUUUUACAGACUAGCUCCUGGCUCUAUGUUUCAAACUUUGUUUCUUCUCUGGUACUCUCAUUCAUCUGGUGCCAGUGCCUCAAGGCACGUUCAUUUCAUGAUGUGACCUCUGGCCCUGCAUCUUCAUAGAAGCAUACCUACACCAGGAUGUCUAGCAGUAACUUAUCUAUGCACAGAAGUGACAGCAAACCUUGUAAAUACAUCCUGCUAAACUCAAAUAAAUGUAUCCGAGCUCGACUUUCAACCGGCAGCCACUGCAAGGCCAUAAAACCCAAGGGCAAGAGUAAGGGAAGGGGAAUUUGGACUGGAGAGGUACAGUUGUCCUUAUCUGGCUGCCAUUAAAAUAACUUACUUUGUCAAGUUUCAACCCUGUGAGCACAUUGCUAAGGCUUCUCCCAGGGCCAGGGGAAAUGGGACUCACAAGUUCAAGCAAAAAACGCCCUGAAAUGUAAGCUUCAGCUUCAGAGGCAACCAGCCUCCACAUCCACUGCUAGUGAGAAUACUGAGAAACAGGUACUCUCAAACGGUGUUGGCAAAAACAUGAAGUGCUAUCAAAAUAAAAGCUCUAGACUUUGGGAGGCCAAGGUGGGCAGAUUGCUUGAGCCCAGGAGUUUAAGACCAGUGUAGGCAACAUGGUGAAA